UCUACAUCUCUCAUGGUCUAUGAAAAGCCUUUUAUUGUUUUCGAUGACCACAAGUGGGUUAAGGUUCUGGGGGUGAACGUUAGCCAGACCACUAAGAUACCAGUCAAGUUCGACGCCUACCCAGAACCUACAGUCAGAUGGUACAAGAAUGGCCAGCCUAUCAGUAAGGAUGACUAUCGAUUUAAACCUGCCAGGGACUCUCACAAUGCUUGAAAUUACUGAGAACGAUGCCUGGAAUUACACCGUGGUCUUGACCGAUAAGAAAAGAAGAGAAGAGUCGCUCUGUCCAGGUCUUGGUCAAUGGGGGUUGCCAUGGACGUCCACAUGUAUGGCAGCAGCCCCACCCUCAGGUGCACCGCCCGUGAAAUCCCCACCCCCCCACACAUCCAAUGGCAAUGGAUGUCCAGAGAGGACUGCCCAAUCAUCUUCCAGUUGUUGAUUCUGUGGAGGAAAAACAGCUGUUGAUGAAAGCAUUAACAGAGACAAUGAGUGUGCCCUCUGACCUGCAUCAGAUAAGUGGAUGUGCUUCAUACUUCUCACAGUCAGGAGUGGUGAACUUUGGGG
This is a long non-coding RNA of Coregonus clupeaformis (lake whitefish), 564 nucleotides long. RefSeq lists it as uncharacterized. Lineage: Eukaryota; Metazoa; Chordata; Actinopteri; Salmoniformes; Salmonidae. The record is from RefSeq and is a predicted model, not a curated record. The transcript is spliced from 6 exons.